CUUUCUCUAGUUUAAAUAGAACAAUUGUUUUGCAUACAAUAAGUAGGAAUACCUGAGGAGGU
This 62-nucleotide transfer RNA is filed under the name Glycera tridactyla. Its description in RNAcentral is "tRNA-Ala". Lineage: Eukaryota; Metazoa; Annelida; Polychaeta; Phyllodocida; Glyceridae. The record is from RNAcentral.